This is a long non-coding RNA of Salvelinus sp. IW2-2015, 638 nucleotides long. RefSeq lists it as uncharacterized. The record is from RefSeq and is a predicted model, not a curated record. NCBI's taxonomy places the organism in Eukaryota, Metazoa, Chordata, Actinopteri, Salmoniformes, Salmonidae.
ACCCGAGCCACUGCCUGUUCAUCCCGCUAUCAUCCAGAAGUUUUGAAGAGCCGUAGACCAUCCAGGGGCACAGGCAGAGGUGCAGAAAGAAAGAAUUGGACAGGAAGACCUUCAAAGGGCUGCCUGACUGCAAGAAGAGAGGCUGGCCGAGAUGAUGCUUAAAUUGCAAGAACUGUCCUUUGAAGAAAGGGGAGAGGUGCUGGAGCUGGCUGCUUCCCGUCUACCUGGAGUGAUGUUUCACAUCAUGGAGUACCGGAGAGCUAGCCUAGGGUCUCCAGACAACCUCGCUGGUGCACCUGCAUGAAUUGCAGGGAGACUUCUACACACUAUUACACACAACUCCUGCCAUUUCACCACUGCAAUAUUCCAUUUAUUUAUUACCAAGUACUGUAUGUUUACAUAACAGGUUAACACUUUCCACAACUACACUGUACUUUAUUCUUCAUUUGGAUCCCAAUUAGGAAAAAUACUUGAUUUGGUGAUAUCUUUAAGUCGAUUUUUGUGUGAAUUUUUCUUUAGUCUGGUCAGUUCAGUUCAGUACUUUAUCGGAAUGUUUCCCUUACACUGUGCUUUUGUUAUUUUGAGGAAGGUUACGGAGACUACCUUGUAUAUCUCCUUAAUAAAACUAUUUGACCUGA